RNAcentral lists this ribosomal RNA (229 nucleotides) under uncultured bacterium. RNAcentral's name for it is "partial 16S ribosomal RNA". It matches the Rfam family "Bacterial small subunit ribosomal RNA", at positions 568 to 796 of the family's 1533-position model. The record is from RNAcentral.
CGUGCAGGUGGUAAUGUAAGUUGGAUGUGAAAGCUCCUGGCUUAACUGGGAGAGGUCGUUCAAAACUGCAUAACUAGAGUACGAUAGAGGGAGGUAGAAUUCCGAGUGUAGUGGUGAAAUGCGUAGAUAUUCGGAGGAAUACCAGAGGCGAAGGCGGCCUCCUGGAUCGUAACUGACACUGAGACGCGAAAGCUAGGGUAGCAAACAGGAUUAGAUACCCUGGUAGUCC